RNAcentral lists this ribosomal RNA (33 nucleotides) under Callistemon rigidus. Its description in RNAcentral is "partial 5.8S ribosomal RNA". Lineage: Eukaryota; Viridiplantae; Streptophyta; Magnoliopsida; Myrtales; Myrtaceae. The record is from RNAcentral.
AUAACGACUCCCGGCAACGGAUAUCUCGGCUCU